AUUGAACGCUGGCGGCAUGCCUUACACAUGCAAGUCGAACGGCAGCACGGGAGCAAUCCUGGUGGCGAGUGGCGAACGGGUGAGUAAUAUAUCGGAACGUGCCCAGUCGUGGGGAUAACGUAGCGAAAGUUACGCUAAUACCGCAUACGAUCUAAGGAUGAAAGCGGGGGACUCGCAAGAGCCUCGCGCGAUUGGAGCGGCCGAUAUCAGAUUAGGUAGUUGGUGGGGCAAAGGCUCACCAAGCCAACGAUCUGUAGCUGGUCUGAGAGGACGACCAGCCACACUGGAACUGAGACACGGUCCAGACUCCUACGGGAGGCAGCAGUGGGGAAUUUUGGACAAUGGACGCAAGUCUGAUCCAGCCAUUCCGCGUGCAGGAUGAAGGCCCUCGGGUUGUAAACUGCUUUUGUACGGAACGAAACGGUGAGCUCUAAUACAGUUUGCUAAUGACGGUACCGUAAGAAU
This 465-nucleotide ribosomal RNA is filed under the name uncultured bacterium. RNAcentral's name for it is "bacterial SSU rRNA". It matches the Rfam family "Bacterial small subunit ribosomal RNA", at positions 30 to 487 of the family's 1533-position model. The record is from RNAcentral.